Magnolia sinica is the source of this 998-nucleotide long non-coding RNA. RefSeq lists it as uncharacterized. The transcript is spliced from 3 exons. NCBI's taxonomy places the organism in Eukaryota, Viridiplantae, Streptophyta, Magnoliopsida, Magnoliales, Magnoliaceae. The record is from RefSeq and is a predicted model, not a curated record.
GACCCUCCAACAGUUUUGUCUUAUUGAAACUUCCAUUUGGAAAUACUACAUCCAACAGCAAAAUAUUAGGGGGAAAAAUCAACUAUGUUUCCUUUUACUUCUCAAGUUAGGUAGAGGUUCAACCAUUGAGAUCAACGUUGUCACCCUUCUUCAUCACCAUCAUCAUCUAAGCUUUAUCCCAAUUAAUUGGGGUCAGUUACAAGAAUCCUAUUCCGCCAUUCCACUCUAUCAAGGGCCAUACCUUCAGCAACAUUUUAUUUUCCUAACUUAAUCCCAAUUGAAAUUUCAUGUAUUUGAACUGUGAAAAAAUCUGUCUCCAUGAACUCUCUACCCUUCUCUCUUUUGGCUAUAACUAUUUUGUUAAUGGCUGGUUAACCUUUGAACUUGUUGCAGAUGAAGAUGAGCUUUAUAUGAUUUCACUAGAUGGGCAACUAUUCUGAAAUCUUUAAUAUGGCGUUCAUACUUCAUAGUUUCUCUUGUCAAACUUGUUCAAGCAAAUUGGUUAGGCGGAUCAUUAGUGGUUCCCUGGAAGCAUUUGAUGAGGAGUUGGCUUUCCCUUUCACCAAUGGAAUGUCUUCGAACCUGAAUUUUCAAAGAUAAUGGGUCUGAACUGUCCUUUCAGAGUCAAAGCAGGCCUUGCAAACAAGUUCAUAGACAAAGCUCUCGAGUUCAAACCAAAGCUUCUCAUUCUUAUCAUUCCAAAAGAAACAGAAAGGUUAUUGGAGCUUGGGGAUUGGGCUGGGAAAUUUUGAUGGAUGGGAUGGAGGUUACACAAUUCACAUGCUUCCAGCAGGUAUCGUAAAUCUUUUUAUAAAUUUUUUGUGUUUUGUGAGAGAUCUAAGCUGUGAAUCAGAUAGAAUCUAUUUGCGAAGAUCACCUGGCACAAAAGUCAGGUAGGUUCAUUCAUCUGGCAGCCACAUUGAGGUUAAGUGGAUGCAUUUUAUCUAUGUUUAAGUGAAUUUUAUGUUCAAAACCAAGAUUUGCUUGAUACAGGAUGG